Molecule: long non-coding RNA, 152 nt
Organism: Cucumis sativus (cucumber)
Lineage: Eukaryota; Viridiplantae; Streptophyta; Magnoliopsida; Cucurbitales; Cucurbitaceae
Exons: 2
Source: RefSeq, a predicted model, not a curated record
GACUACUGUGGACGAAGAGCACAACUACUUCCAGUCUCUGGUCGAUAAGUACCCAAGGAAGAGUUGCAGUGGGUAAAUCUUAAUGGCUGGCAGAAAAUUGGUUCGGGAUAUAUUACUCUCAAGACAAAGUAUUUUUUAUCAGUUUACUUCCA